RNAcentral lists this ribosomal RNA (236 nucleotides) under uncultured bacterium. RNAcentral's name for it is "partial 16S ribosomal RNA". It matches the Rfam family "Bacterial small subunit ribosomal RNA", at positions 590 to 824 of the family's 1533-position model. The record is from RNAcentral.
ACUCGUGAAAUCUCCGGGCUUAACUCGGAACGGUCAGAUGAUACUCGCUUUGCUAGAGUGCAGAAGGGGCAAUCGGAAUUCUUGGUGUAGCGGUGAAAUGCGUAUAUAUCAAGAAGAACACCUGAGGUGAAGACGGGUUGCUGGGCUGACACUGACGCUGAAGCGCGAAAGCCAGGGGAGCAAACGGGAUUAGAUACCCCGGUAGUCCUGGCCCUAAACGAUGAAUACUUGGUGUC